RNAcentral lists this long non-coding RNA (1828 nucleotides) under Homo sapiens (human). Its description in RNAcentral is "HSALNT0279750". Lineage: Eukaryota; Metazoa; Chordata; Mammalia; Primates; Hominidae. The record is from RNAcentral.
ACCUGCAGCUUGUCCAUAUCUCCUCAAAUUCCUAUUUUGAAACAUUAACUCCAAAGGUACUAGGAGGUGAGGCAUGGGGAAGUGAUGAGGUCAUGAGCAUGGAGCCUCACGAAUGGGAUCAGUGCCCUCAUAAAAUGCACCCCAGAGAGCUCCCUCGCCCCUUCCACCAUUUGAAGACACAGUGAGAAGGUGCCGUCUGUGAACCAGGAAGCCCUCACCAGACACUGAAACUGCCACACCUUGGUCUUGGACCUCCAGCCUCCAGAACUUGAGACGUCUUCAGUGUCAAAGCAGUACCAGCAUAUUCUCCUCACGGAAUAUUUGGAGAGAAGCCAAUUCCUGUUCGAGGAGCAGCUGCAACUAAGGACGUGACAUGGCUUACCGUCAAUGCUUACCAGAUGCUAUGAUACAGCAUCUAUGUUUCUGUCAUGUGAUACAGGAAACAUCCACAGACUCCUUUAAAAAUAGAAAUUCAUGGGUUUAAGGUUAUGCCUGUUAGAAGCAGUAGAAGCGUGAACAUGUUAGUUCACACGUGUUAGAAUAAUUCUGGCAACGUGUUCAUAUUGAUGCUAUCAGGGCUCAUUAAAAUUUGCUAGUACACCUAUAAACACACUCAAAUAUCCAACAAGAUUAGGAUAGUCUGUAGUUUACAGACAUCAUUCUGAUAGUUCCACAACAUUUAACCAAUGGCAACAUGUGUGCAGGUAUGUGCAUGGAAGACAUGUUCAAACGCUAAUUGAAAGAGAUUUUUCUUCCACAGAAUUAUAUAAUAGAUAAGAAAGUGGCUUCCCUAAGAAGGGAAGAGGUUACAGGAAGGCAGGAAAAAACAGGAACUGGGAGAAGGAGGGAAGAAGCACAUUUAUUUGAUUUAUAAGGCUUUAAAGCAAAAUAAUUGGCAAGUCAUAUAAUUGGCUAGAGAGAUUGGGUCUUGCCAGUGAUUAAUUAGGACCUGUCUUUGUGUGAAUCACCUGGUUUCCUGCCAAAGAUGAAGAUGAAACAUUUCCAUGAGCAGGCAAUUCAGUCUGAGUGUGUCUAAUGUUAUUUUCAGAUGAGGAGACUCCAUGUGCAUGGUUGCAGCAGGCAUUCUUGGGAGCUCAUGAGCUGAAUUUCAGGAAAAGCCCAAGAAGAUUCCACAUUUCCCUCAGGAUAUCCUCAGGAAAAUGUCCGCAGGCCUGGAAACACUUAGCCAUCACUUGCUUACUUGAGAGAAGUCAAAAAGGAUUAUGGAAACAGAUUGGAAUGUCGAACCACAUUUAUAAAUGUUCCUAAGCUGUUUCCAUUAACCAAAAAAGAUGCUGAAUAAACAGAAAAAAAAAAAGAUCAGGCUGGGAAAUAUCACUAGGACUGGCCCCCCACAAAGGAGGAAAAUGGCUGUGAAUAUUUAGUGGAAGAGAAAAUGGUACACAAUGACAACCAAGGGAGUGAAGAAGAUAACUUGUCAAAGGGAAGUGUUAGAAAAUUAACUUUCUUAGAGGGCUGAAAUAAAACAGAUAUGAAAAAGAAAAAAAAAAGUAAGUCCUUAAUCCAUUUUAUUUUGAUUGUUGUAUAUGGUAAGAGACAGGGGUCUAGUUUUAUUCUUCCAUAUGUGGAUAUCCAGUUUUCCCAGCACCAUUUAUUGAAGAGAUUGUCUUUUCCUCAAAGUAUGUUUGUGGCACCUUUGUGAAAAAUGAGUUCGCUUUAGAUCUGUGGAUUUAUUUCUGGGUGCUCUAGUCUGUUCCAUUGGUCUGUGUGUCUGGUUUUAUAUCGGUACCUUGCUGUUUUGGUUACUAUAGCUCUGUAGGAAAUUUUGAAGUACUCCAUAAAUACAUUAAAAAAAAUCCAACCGAGG